This 449-nucleotide ribosomal RNA is filed under the name uncultured bacterium. RNAcentral describes it as "partial 16S ribosomal RNA". It matches the Rfam family "Bacterial small subunit ribosomal RNA", at positions 29 to 523 of the family's 1533-position model. The record is from RNAcentral.
AACGAACGCUGGCGGCAUGCCUAACACAUGCAAGUCGAACGAGACCUUCGGGUCUAGUGGCGCACGGGUGCGUAACGCGUGGGAAUCUACCCUUGGGUUCGGAAUAACAGUUAGAAAUGACUGCUAAUACCGGAUGAUGACGUAAGUCCAAAGAUUUAUCGCCCAGGGAUGAGCCCGCGUAAGAUUAGCUUGUUGGUGGGGUAAUGGCCUACCAAGGCGACGAUCUUUAGCUGGUCUGAGAGGAUGAUCAGCCACACUGGGACUGAGACACGGCCCAGACUCCUACGGGAGGCAGUAGUGGGGAAUAUUGGACAAUGGGCGAAAGCCUGAUCCAGCAAUGCCGCGUGAGUGAUGAAGGCCUUAGGGUUGUAAAGCUCUUUUACCAGGGAUGAUAAUGACAGUACCUGGAGAAUAAGCUCCGGCUAACUCCGUGCCAGCCGCCGCGGUAA